RNAcentral lists this ribosomal RNA (500 nucleotides) under uncultured bacterium. RNAcentral's name for it is "bacterial SSU rRNA". It matches the Rfam family "Bacterial small subunit ribosomal RNA", at positions 28 to 517 of the family's 1533-position model. The record is from RNAcentral.
GAUGAACGCUAGCUACAGGCUUAACACAUGCAAGUCGAGGGGCAGCAUUAUCGAAGCUUGCUUUGAUAGAUGGCGACCGGCGCACGGGUGAGUAACGCGUAUCCAACCUUCCCCAUAGUCAGGAAUAGCCCGGCGAAAGUCGAAUUAAUGCCUGAUGUUUUCCACGGACGGCAUCUGAUGUGGAACAAAGAUUGAUCGCUAUGGGAUGGGGAUGCGUCUGAUUAGCUUGUUGGCGGGGUAACGGCCCACCAAGGCAACGAUCAGUAGGGGUUCUGAGAGGAAGGUCCCCCACAUUGGAACUGAGACACGGUCCAAACUCCUACGGGAGGCAGCAGUGAGGAAUAUUGGUCAAUGGGCGGAAGCCUGAACCAGCCAAGUAGCGUGAGGGAUGACUGCCCUAUGGGUUGUAAACCUCUUUUAUAAGGGAAUAAAAUACGGGACGUGUCCUGUUUUGCAUGUACCUUAUGAAUAAGGACCGGCUAAUUCCGUGCCAGCAGCCG